RNAcentral lists this ribosomal RNA (627 nucleotides) under uncultured Russulaceae. RNAcentral's name for it is "LSU rRNA". It matches the Rfam family "Eukaryotic large subunit ribosomal RNA", at positions 47 to 649 of the family's 3401-position model. The record is from RNAcentral. Lineage: Eukaryota; Fungi; Basidiomycota; Agaricomycetes; Russulales; Russulaceae.
UAAGCGGAGGAAAAGAAACUAACAAGAAUUCCCCUAGUAACUGCGAGUGAAGCGGGAAAAGCUCAAAUUUAAAAUCUGGUGGUCUUUGGCCAUCCGAGUUGUAAUUUAGAGAAGCGUCUUCCGCGCUGGACCGUGCACAAGUCUCCUGGAAUGGAGCGUCGUAGAGGGUGAGAAUCCCGUCUUUGGCACGGACGCACCAGGGCUUCUGUGAUGCGCUCUCGAAGAGUCGAGUUGUUUGGGAAUGCAGCUCAAAAUGGGUGGUGAACUCCAUCUAAAGCUAAAUAUUGGCGAGAGACCGAUAGCGAACAAGUACCGUGAGGGAAAGAUGAAAAGCACUUUGGAAAGAGAGUGAAACAGUACGUGAAAUUGUUGAAAGGGAAACGCUUAAAGUCAGUCGCGUCGCCCGAGACUCAGCCUUGCCUUGGCUUGGUGUACUUCUCGGCCGACGGGUCAGCAUCAAUUUUGCCCCUUGGAUAAUGGCGAGGGAAAUGUGGCACCUUCACGGGUGUGUUAUAGUCUCUCGUCGCAUGCAAGGGUCGGGAUUGAGGAACUCAGCACGCGCCUUUCGGCGUCGGGGUUCGCCCACGAUACGUGCUUAGGAUGUUGGCGUAAUGGCUUUAAACGACC